UGGGGAAUUUUGGACAAUGGGCGAAAGCCUGAUCCAGCAAUGCCGCGUGCAGGAUGAAGGCCCUCGGGUUGUAAACUGCUUUUGUACGGAACGAAAAGCCUGGGGCUAAUAUCCCCGGGUCAUGACGGUACCGUAAGAAUAAGCACCGGCUAACUACGUGCCAG
RNAcentral lists this ribosomal RNA (164 nucleotides) under uncultured bacterium. Its description in RNAcentral is "partial 16S rRNA". It matches the Rfam family "Bacterial small subunit ribosomal RNA", at positions 355 to 511 of the family's 1533-position model. The record is from RNAcentral.